This 4602-nucleotide ribosomal RNA is filed under the name Triticum aestivum (bread wheat). Its description in RNAcentral is "partial small subunit ribosomal RNA". Lineage: Eukaryota; Viridiplantae; Streptophyta; Magnoliopsida; Poales; Poaceae. The record is from RNAcentral.
AUGACGAACUAUAUCCUAGCAGCAAUAUCUGGGCCAGGCUAUGGCUCAUCCUCUAGACAGCUUGUUUCACAAUUGAUCUGGCCCAUAAUCUCUCUCUCUCUCUCUCUCUCUCUCUCUCUCUCUCUCUCUCUCUCUCUCUCUCUUCUUCCUCUCCGAAAAUCAUCAUUUCCCCGCCCAAACCCCACCCUUUCCCUCCCAAAAAAAUUCCCAAUCCCCAACCUUCGCGAACCUUCUCGAAGCGCCAAGCGGAGCUGCCCGAUGGCGGCGCCCCCACCGCUCUACCAUCCUGCCAUCGCCGUCGACGAAGACGACGACGGCUUCGAUUGGGAUGCGGCCGUGCGGGAGAUCGACAGCGCAUGCGCCCUUGCCUCAGCCUCCACGACCGCCGUGUCGACCUCAGCUCCGCCGCCCCCGCCCUCGGCCGCCCCGUCGUCGGGCCUCGCUCCCUCGGCCGCGGCGCCCUCCUUCCACGGGCUGUCCACGGGAGUCGCGCGGCAGUCGACGCUCGACCGCUUCGUGGACUCAUUCACCAGGAGGCAGGCGGCGAAGGAUAGGCCGCUCCCUGCGCCGUCGGUUCCUGUGGAGGUAGCAGUGCCGCCUGGCGGCGGCGGGGCGCACUUUGUGGACCGUGGCGAUGAGGGGUGCUCGCGGAAGGCGAGUGAGGAGAAGGUCGUGGAGCGGCCCCGCACUGCGGCGCUCGACCGCUUCGUCGACGCGUUCACCAGGAGGCAGGCUGCGAAGGAGAGGCCGCCCCCUGUACCUGGGGUUCCUGUGGCGGCAGCGGUGCCACCUGGUGGUGGCGGGGCGCACUUUGCUGUCCGUGGCGAUGAGGGGUGCUUGCGUAGGGGGAGCGAGGAGGAGGUUGCGGAGGGGUCCUGCACCGUGGCGCUCGACCACGAGGCAGUGCAGACGUGGAUCUAUCCGACUAAUGUGGAAGUCCGAGAGUACCAACGAUAUAUUGUCCAAAAGGCUUUGUUUACAAAUACACUAGUAGCCCUGCCAACUGGACUUGGCAAAACUUUUAUCGCAGCCGUGGUGAUGUAUAACUAUUUUAGAUGGUUUCCUGAAGGUAAAAUAGUAUUCACAGCCCCUUCGCGUCCUCUUGUCACUCAGCAAAUUGAGGCAUGCCACAAUACAGUGGGUAUACCACAGGAGUGGGCGAUUGAUAUGAAAGGGAAUCUAAGCCCUUCAACGAGAUCAAGCUUGUGGAAGUCUAAACGAGUGUUCUUUGUCACUCCACAGAUUCUUGAGAAUGACAUACAAUCUGGUAUAUGCAUGGUGAAACAACUUGUUUGCUUGGUGAUAGAUGAAGCUCAUAGAGCUUCGGGAAAUCAUGCUUACUGUGUUGCUGUUCGCCAGUUGGUGGCAGCUGGUGUGCCGCUAAGAAUUUUAGCUUUGACUGCUACACCAGGAUCAAAACAGCCAACUAUCCAAGCUGUCAUCAACAAUUUAUGCAUCUCAGAGUUGAUUCAUCGUGAUGAAAGUGAUCUUGAAGUCAAACGAUAUGUUAACACACGUACAGUUGAACUCUUAAAGGUUCCUGUUGGCAGUGACACAACUCAAGUCAAUGCUAUGAUUUUGGAUCUUAUAAAUACACAUGUUGUUCAGUUACGUGCUGCUGGGGUGAUUGAUAACAGGGAUGCUGCAAAUUGGAGCCCACAUCAGUUGCUUAUUUUAAGGACGAAAUUCAGCCAAGCACCUCCACCAAAUAUUCCUCUGGAAAAGAAAAAGGAAAUUCAUAAAUCUUUUGCAGCUCUCGUGUCACUUUGUCAUGUGAGUAAAAUGCUUUGGAGCCAUGGAAUCAAGCCAGCGCAUGAGUCAAUUAAAGCCAAGUUGAAAGAAGGGCACUCUUGGAAUUUUGCUUCAAAGAAUCAAACCUUUCGGGAUGCAAUGAAUAUGAUGCAGAAGAUCUCAUCUGAAGGCUUACCCAGUCCAAAGGUGCAGAAAUUGGCAGAAGUGUUGGUCGAUCACUUCCACAAAAAUGAUUCCAAGGACUCACGGGUGAUUAUCUUUUCAAAUUUCCGGGAAAGUGUCAAUGAGAUUCUCGGUUCAUUAAGAGACAGUGGUGGCGGACUUUUCAGACCUGCACAGUUCAUCGGUCAAAGCUCUACAGGUGACCGACUGAAGGGCCAGACACAGAAAAUGCAACAAGCUAUUUUACAGAAAUUUCGAGCUGGGGAAUACAAUAUUUUGGUGGCAACAUCAAUUGGUGAGGAAGGUCUAGAUAUUAUGGAGGUGGAUCUUGUGAUUUGUUUCGAUGCCAAUGUCUCUCCAUUAAGGAUGAUCCAACGAAUGGGAAGGACUGGGCGGAAGCACGAAGGACGAGUUGUGGUUUUGGCUUGUGAAGGACCAGAGCUGCAAGGGUACAUGAAGAAACAAGGAAGUGCUCGGACAAUGAAGAACCUUUUGCGUAAAGGGAACGCCUUUGAAUACCAUUCUAGUCCCAGGAUGGUUCCACAUGUCUAUAGCCCAGAAGUUAAAUAUGUUAAAUUAUCAAUAGAGAAGUAUGUCCAUUGCUCAAAGAAAAGAAAAGUUGAUGUGAGUGGCACACCACACAUUUUGAACAAAGUUUCAGAGGAAGAUGGCCUAUUGAUUGCUCAGUACUUCAGUUCAGGCAAAGAAGAUACUUGGAAGCCAUCACUUGUUGCGUUCCCUAGUUUCCAGGUUUCUCCAUGUGAUAUCUAUAGAGUGCCUCAUUCCUAUCGGACUACAGAUAUGCUAAUCGAUACUAUGCAACAACUUCAAGAUGUUUCUUUCUCUAAAACUAAGUGUGGAAGCCCUUUACAAGAACCCGCUGAUGUAGCAGCUUUUGAGGAUCAGGUGUUGGAUGGUUAUCACUUUUCUUCUGGAGAAGUGUCAUCGAGUAAAAGUGCUAGUGUGCCAAGUUCACUGGUCAACAAAUAUCCUCUCCACUCAUUCUUCAGUGGGGAAUAUGUAGCUGUGGAUGUUAGAGGCUACAUUUCAAUCACUUUUGUACCUGCCUUACCGAGGGUAUCUGAGUUCCAUAAGGAUACAAGGAACGUAAAUUGGGAACAUACAAUCCAGAACAAGACUACUUCAAAAUUGACAGCAGAUGCCAGUGGGCAAUUAACGGAUAGCGCUUAUUCGAUCUUUGCAGGCAAUGCAUUAAAUUCAGCUCCUCAUUUCCCUGAAUAUUCGGAGCAAUGUAACCAAGCUGAUGGCACACACAUACUUUCCCCCAGUACUCCAUCUAAAACGGUUACAAGUCCAAUAGAAAAAUGGGACACACCAUGCAAUGCUAAACUAGCAAGCCCAGUUUUGUCAGGUCAGGAAGACAUGGAACUUAGUCCUAGAUUAACUCAUUAUAUUGAAGAAGGAAUUGUGCCUGAGUCUCCAGUAGAGCAAUUAGAAAUAGACAGUGCUGCUGAUCUUGAUUUUGUUGCAAAGGUUAUUUCUUCAAAGUCACACAUUCAGGGAGCUGAACACAAUCGGCCAGAAUGUAGUGACGGGCCACUAAGCUUUGUGAGAGAAGGUCAAUUUCCUGCUGGUGUCACGGAACAUCAUGGUUCGUCAAGAGAGAAUAUCCUAGUUCAGACUCAAGCAGAAACAGAUGAGCCAAUGUGUUCUUCAAAGGCAAAAAUCUACUGCAGUCCUGCUGCUCAUACGCCCACAGCAAAUCUACUGUCUGAUAGUAUGUCUGAUGAUUGGCAGCCUAAGUCAAUAGGGAAUACAUCAGGAUCAGUACAGCAAUUACCGAAGUACAGAAGACUCCGCAAAUGCGGUGACAAGAUCAAACGAGUAUCCUCAUUGUCUUUGAAUGAAAGAUAUAAUGGAUCUGUAGGAGGACAAUGUGAUCAGAUGGAGCAUUAUGUUGGAAACAGAAGGAAAGCCAAGAGGUGUAUGGAUAUAUAUAUUGAUGAGGAAGUCGAAGUGUCUGAAGAUGCUGAUAUUUCACCGGAUGAGGAUGAUGAUCGGAGUGAAGAUAAAUAUGAAGAUAGCUUUAUUGACGAUCAGACAACUCCUACUGGCCAAUUCACUCAGAGUGAACAAGGUGGUGAAAACAGUAACACUAACGACAUGAUGGCUUUCUACAGGCGAUCACUACUUAGUCAGUCAACGGUAGUCCUGCCCUCGAGAUACCAAGAUGUCUCUGAUAAUUCUGUUUCCAGAGCUGGAAGUGCAAGCUGUUCAUCAGGGAACUUGCACAAUCCUAUCGAGACUCCACAAGGGAUUCCUCAAAUAUAUGGUACCACUGACCCAAGUCCUAUAGGUCACCAGCAAAUGUCCCUGGAGAGAGCCAGUUCGAUAAAGGAACAGGGUGAAGCAAGUGUGGUCAAUUGCGAAUCAACCACCAAACCAGAUAGCAGAAAGAGAAAACUAAGCUUCGAGCAAGCCGCCUCAAUCCCUGUCAUAAACCUUGAGCUGGAACCAGCACCACCUUCCUCACAUGUUGCUACUGAAGUCGGUAAUGACAUAUACUGGGAUGAUGCUUUCUUUGAGAACCUUGAUUUUGAUGCAAUUGAAGCACAAGCGGCCGAGCAACUUAGACUCCAGAAAGCACAAUCAGCACAAAAACCAACGGAAACUAAGCGAGCAUCUGAUGUCAGCUUCACGCCUCCAUCGUUUGAUCUUGGGAUCUGA